CAGUAGCCACGGGAACACGUAGGUGGCAAGCGUUGUCCGGAAUUACUGGGCGUAAAGCGUGCGCAGGCGGUUCUAUAAGACAGAUGUGAAAUCCCCGGGCUCAACCUGGGAACUGCAUUUGUGACUGUAGAGCUGGAGUGCGGCAGAGGGGGAUGGAAUUCCGCGUGUAGCAGUGAAAUGCGUAGAUAUGCGGAGGAACACCGAUGGCGAAGGCAAUCCCCUGGGCCUGCACUGACGCUCAUGCACGAAAGCGUGGGGAGCAAACAGGAUUAGAUACCCCAGUAGUCCCUGUCUCUUAUAC
RNAcentral lists this ribosomal RNA (301 nucleotides) under uncultured bacterium. RNAcentral's name for it is "partial 16S ribosomal RNA". It matches the Rfam family "Bacterial small subunit ribosomal RNA", at positions 509 to 807 of the family's 1533-position model. The record is from RNAcentral.